Molecule: ribosomal RNA, 444 nt
Filed under: uncultured bacterium
Lineage: Bacteria
Description: bacterial SSU rRNA
Rfam family: Bacterial small subunit ribosomal RNA
Source: RNAcentral
CCAGACUCCUACGGGAGGCAGCAGUGGGGAAUAUUGCACAAUGGGGGAAACCCUGAUGCAGCGACGCCGCGUGAGUGAAGAAGUAUCUCGGUAUGUAAAGCUCUAUCAGCAGGGAAGAAAAUGACGGUACCUGACUAAGAAGCCCCGGCUAACUACGUGCCAGCAGCCGCGGUAAUACGUAGGGGGCAAGCGUUAUCCGGAUUUACUGGGUGUAAAGGGAGCGUAGACGGCAGUGCAAGUCCGGAGUGAAAGCCCGGGGCUCAACCCUGGGACUGCUCUGGAAACUGUAAAGCUGGAGUGCGGGAGGGGCAGGCGGAAUUCCUGGUGUAGCGGUGAAAUGCGUAGAUAUCAGGAGGAACACCGGCGGCGAAGGCGGCCUGCUGGACCGUGACUGACGUUGAGGCUCGAGAGCGUGGGGAGCAAACAGGAUUAGAUACCCCUGUA